GAUGAACGCUGGCGGCGUGCCUAAUACAUGCAAGUCGAGCGAACAGACGAGGAGCUUGCGCCUCUCACGUUAGCGGCGGACGGGUGAGUAACACGUGGAUCACCUACCUAUAAGACUGGGAUAACUUCGGGAAACCGGAGCUAAUACCGGAUAAUCUCUUGAACCGCAUGGUUCAAUAGUGAAAGACGGCUUUGCUGUCACUUAUCGCUGGUUCCGCGCCGCAUUAGCUAGUUGUUAAGGUAACGGCCUACCAAGGCAACGAUGCGUAGCCGACCUGAGAGGGGGAUCGGCCACACUGGAACGGGGACACGGUCCAGACUACUACGGGAGGGAGCAGUAGGGAAUCGUCCGCAAUGGGCGGAAGCCUGACGGAGCAAGGGCGCGUGAGUGAUGAAGGUCUUGGGUGCGUAAAACUGUGUUAUUAGGGAAGAACAAAUGUGUAAGUAACUAUGCACGUCUUGACGGUAACUAAUCAGAAAGCCACGGCUAACUACGUG
This 497-nucleotide ribosomal RNA is filed under the name uncultured bacterium. RNAcentral describes it as "partial 16S ribosomal RNA". It matches the Rfam family "Bacterial small subunit ribosomal RNA", at positions 28 to 507 of the family's 1533-position model. The record is from RNAcentral.